RNAcentral lists this unclassified non-coding RNA (2407 nucleotides) under Actinia tenebrosa (Australian red waratah sea anemone). RNAcentral's name for it is "gTPase-activating protein-like, transcript variant X1". Lineage: Eukaryota; Metazoa; Cnidaria; Anthozoa; Actiniaria; Actiniidae. The record is from RNAcentral.
CCGUUGGGGCCGCAGAAGGAGUUUAUUGGGGUAUGUUGGCAGUCAAGCUGAAAGUUUUACCGUCACUAACAACCUCGUGGGAUAAAGUCUAAUGUAAUCCUCCGUCAAUGAAUCAAUGAUGUAGAAAUAUUGAAUGUUUUGGAGUAACUGGAGUUUUAUUGGUGACAGAAAACACGGGGAGUUUACGAAAUUUCUUGGCGCGCGAAACUAGAGGACAGAACGUGGGACGGGCUCAACUUAUGUCAAACCGUGUUAUGCUCAAAGAUCGAAUGAAAUCUUAAGGAAUAUUCAGCAGUUUUGGAAUGAAAAUGGCAGAGGUAGCGCCACCUGAGAUCCAGGAAGGGGAUAAAUUAAGAUUAAUUCAAAAAAGACUUAAAUUACUAAAACAAGAGAUUUCCGAACGCAGCAAGAAAAAUUAUGAACUGGAAAGGGAUGUACGCUUCUUUGACCAAAGGAUUGCACUUCUGAUCAACCAUCGCAUCGCUGUAGAGGAAUUAUCAGAUCGGAUUGGUGAUGGCGAUCGUCGUGUUGGAGUAAUUAAAGAUGAACUGAAAUGUCAGAGAUAUGGAAACCUCUUUUACUUGCUUCAAACAGAGCCUCAUUACCUUGCACAGUUAACCAGAAUUGUGGUGUUAAGUGAAAUUGACUCCCUAUUACAGCCAGUAAUGUUUUCAUUGUAUGGAAAUCAGUACGAGCCAAGAGAAGAGUAUCUAUUGCUGUCAAUGUUUGAGCUUGUCUUGAAGUAUGAAUUUGAGGAGUCAGAAAAUUUUAAUAGUUUGCUGAGAGCAAACACAGCAAUCUCAAGAAUGAUGACAACCUACACAAGAAGGGGACCUGGACAACAGUAUUUAAAACUUGCUCUUGAGGAACCUCUUCAUGAGUUGUUAUCACAACCUGACUUGCUGCUGGAAAUCAAUCCUGUAAAAGUCUACAUAGAAGUACAUGGUUAUCCAAAAGAUGAAAACACACAACUAACUUAUGAAAAGGCAAUGGAUGACCCAGAAGUUCAGUUAAAAACAAAAAUUCGUAUUAAAAAGCUUGUAGACAUAGCAUCACUGUUCCUUGGAAUCAUUGUUAGUUCCCUGAAUAAUGUGCCUUAUGGUAUAAGAUGGUUGUGCGGUGCAAUAAGAACACUUGCAACGGAAAAGUAUCCAGAAGCGCAACCAGAACAAAUCAAUGCUAUGAUUGGUGGAUUCUUUUUGUUAAGAUUUUUAAACCCUGCCAUAGUUACUCCUACAGCACAUAUGUUGGUCGAAAAACAACCUUCACAAAAUAUGAGAAGAAACCUGACCUUGAUCGCAAAGAUUCUUCAAAGCAUGGCGAAUAAGAACAUUGUGACAAGUCAUUUCAAGGAGGAAUAUAUGCAGCCCUUACAGCCGUUUGCCUUGGAGCACGUUGACCUAAUGCAGAAUUUUUUAAGAGACCUCUGUGAGGUCUCAGAUUUUCAUGAAAACUUAGAGAUGGAACAUUAUCUUUCUCUGUCUAAAAAUAUCAAGAUCUCAAUAACACUGAAUGAGAUGUUCAAAAUUCAUGAGCUGAUGCUGCAAUACAAAGAUGACUUGGCAUUAACAGAGGAUGACCCAUUACACAUACUUUUGGAUGAGCUGGGUCAAGCUGAGCUCCAGAUGUCAAGUUUAGAUAAUCUAACUAUACAUUUGCCUUUAACAAACAAAUGGGGCCCAUCAAAACAAGUUCUGAGGACAGAAUCUAUAGAGUCAACAUUCAGCAAGAAGAUUGAGAGUGAAGCUGUAAAAGAACAGUGCAGGAAACUGUUGGUUAAGAUGUUAUGCUUGCGCCCCUGUCUAAUGUUGGAAAACACCUUGUAUGAUGCAGUUAUGAAGGCACAGGACGAACCCAGUACUGAUUGGGGAGGACUGGCUGAGUAUUUAUUGCAUGUAUACCAGGCAGUUGAAGAAUUUCAUUCUGUAUUAACCAAUGACGCACUGUAUUAUCAGGAGCUGAAGGAGGAGGCUCAGCUCAAACUGUUGAAAUAUGAAAAAUUUGAGAUGGAGCUUAAAAGUUUAGAAAGAGUCUACGAGGCUCUCGAUAACCAUGGAAAUUUUCUCCAGGAACAACUUAAUGCUUACAAAGAAUACUUAGUAGUUGUGAGAAACAGAGCAGCCUCAAUACCUAAAAUACAAAAGAGAAGUAGUUUUGGACUUUCCUCUUCACAAGGAGGCCCAAAGGUGGUGAGGUUUUCUUACAAUCAGCUUGAGAGAGAUGGAGUGAUCGUAGAAACCAAUGAUAUUCCAGAAAAAAAGAAAAGCUGAUAUCUCGGUGACAGUUUCAUCACCAGAACCAGGAAUUUAUACAGUAACUUUAUUCUACAAAGGUGAAACAAGCAAAGCAUAUGAAACAGAUCUAAUUUUAGAAGAGCUACUUGAAAAACAACAUCUAAGCAAUCCGG